GCUCUGGGAUUCAGCUGGUGAGUGUGGACUGGAGCUUGGCUAAUAUGUUGAGCCCUGGAGUCUGCGUAGCAGCAGGCCUUUGCCCCUUGUGGGUGAGGGUGCGCGAUGCACUUACCAAGUGUUGUGCGCUCUGGGUGUUCAUCGAGCUGACUCGCCAGUGCACUUUCUCAGAGUGGUCAUCACGACCGGCACCGCUGUCUGGCUGGUGUGGUUAAACCGAUCUCGUAUUGUCCUUGUGGCUCUGCUUGGUCGGGAUGGCAGGUAGCUCGGUGAUUUGCCUGUGAUCUUCGGUCGCGGGCGCUGGUCAUUGAGUGUAACUGGCUGACCACAUUGGUUCUGUGCAGUGUGUCGGAGACGGCGGCUUUUGUGUGUGCGCGCGUGCCUGUCUGGCCGGCGUGUCCGGGUUUGGUCGUUUGUGCCUGUUCACGCAGGCCUGGCGAUGGCUCGGGUUCGUUCGGUUGGCGGUUGCGUGCGUGGCACAUUUAUUGGGCCAACAGUCUGUGAUGUAGUGGUAGACUAUCCACCUGACCCGUCUUGAAACACGGACCAAGGAGAGUAACAUGUGCGCGAGUCAUUGGGCGUUACGAAACCCAAAGGCGCAGUGAAAGUAAAGGUUUGGCUUGUCCAGGCUGAGGUGAGAUCCUGUCGUUUCUCAUGCGCGGUACCACCAAGCUACGAGCGGCAGGCGCAUCACCGGCCCGUCCCAUAACAAUUGUUUUCGAGCAGUACCCAGUGGGGGCGGAGCAUGAGCGUACAUGUUGAGACCCGAAAGAUGGUGAACUAUGCUUGCGCAGGUUGAAGCCAGAGGAAACUCUGGUGGAGGACCGCAGCGGUUCUGACGUGCAAAUCGAUCGCCAGACGUGAGUAUA
Molecule: ribosomal RNA, 869 nt
Filed under: Langeronia macrocirra
Lineage: Eukaryota; Metazoa; Platyhelminthes; Trematoda; Plagiorchiida; Pleurogenidae
Description: partial large subunit ribosomal RNA
Rfam family: Eukaryotic large subunit ribosomal RNA (bases 414-869)
Source: RNAcentral